RNAcentral lists this long non-coding RNA (2500 nucleotides) under Malus domestica (apple). RNAcentral's name for it is "long non-coding RNA (MDOM_LNC000457)". The record is from RNAcentral. Lineage: Eukaryota; Viridiplantae; Streptophyta; Magnoliopsida; Rosales; Rosaceae.
AAAAAAACUGAGUUUAUUUUAUAUAAAAAAGGUACAUUUUACAUAUAACAAAUUGGUAUAUCUAAGAAUGAGUACAUUUUAAGAUUAAAAAUUUUAAAAAAUUACAUAAAUGGGUACAUGUAAGAUUAAAAAAUUGAAAACAUUUCUUAAAAAAAAGCUAAUGGGUACAAACUUAUUCUAAAAUUAGUUAGGAGUUUAAUAAAGGUGUGAGUAUUAAUAUUCUAAAUCAAUUAUUAAUUUUUAUUUAAAAAAAUUAUGUAACUGCAUGUAAAUUCAUUAUUACAUUAAUGCUAGAAAUUUCGAUCAAAAUCUAAAAACUAACAAGGUUUCAAUUAAUGAACAGUAAUAACUAGGGAUCUAAUUAAUGUCUUCGUGUUUAAAUUCAAAGCAAAAGUAAGAUAGUAUGAUAUAUCCUUCAUACUGUAUGACAUGCUGCACUUGAGAUUAUACUUUAUAAUACUUUGAUAGCUAUAAUUUUCUUUUGGAUACAACUUUGUAAUUUUGUUUGUUAUUAUAGCUAACUUAAUUCAGUUGGUGAGAAAUGUUAAGGGGAUUUUCUAAAAAAUGUGACUUUUUGUUACUUUUUGUUACCUUAUAGUUUAAUGCCAAUUUUUGUUCCAACAUUAUAAAAUAUUAUGCCCAAAGUAUGAGGUAACAAAGAGUCUAUAGAAAGUCCCACUUAUAAGAUAGUCUCCUUAGACCAUCUCUAAAGGAGAUAUCAGAUCCUAAGUUAAAUGUCAUGUAAUCAAAUUUGAAGGUAGAAAUAAUCUCCAACCGAUAUGUCAAUCCUAUGAAUUUUCAUACGUCAAAUUUGACAUAUGAGAAUGUGAUGUCAAAUAAUUUUUCAAUUGUUUUAUUGUGUGGAUCAUAUUAAUGCACUAAUUAUAGAUUUUGAUAAUUUAUUUUAAUUGAUUUCUUUGCCACUUAGUACUAUAGUCUAGUGGUAUUCCUCUUUACUUGUAAGUGAGAGGUCUUAGGUUCGAUUAAUGGAUCACUAUAACAAAAAUAUAAAAUAAAAAAAUAUGGGUUGGAGGAAGAGGAAAUCUCCUUAGUGUAGAUAAUAUCGUUUUAAAAAAUAAUUAAUUGAUUUCCUUUUAAAAAUGGAUCCUGCAAAUAUCAUUAUAACGAAAAAACAUAAGGGUUGGAGAAAGAGACAAUCUGACAUUACCACGUUAGCCAUCAAAUUAACAUUUGACAUUUAUCUUUUAAUAAUAGGACUAAAAGCGCAUCACAAAGUAGCACACAAAUGUCCUAUUGAUUUUCCUUAUUAACCCAAAGAUUUGUCAAUUGUAGCAUGAGAAAAUAAGGGUAUUUCCUGCAAAAGAUUGUUUUAUCUAACUACUUAAAAUAUCACAAAAACUGGGUUGCUGUUCCUACUGACCAGCCACUGAAAAAUAAUUAUUAGACUAACUUACAGUUGUCUAAUUCGACAAAAUUUUAUAUGCGGACACUAGACACACAGAGGUGCAGUCAUACAAAUUUUUGGGAUUUUUUGAGUUAAUUUUCUAUUUUAAUUAAAAUUCAACAAAAACAUAGUAGAAACAAAAGUGCAAUAAUAAAUACAGAUUGUAGUUCACAAGUUACGAAAAUGAGUUAGGGGGAUUGCUAUCCACCACCAAAUAAUCAUGCAGGCAUGUUAUAUUUCAUUUAAAUUCCUUUUAUCUCUGGAUGAAGAUGCUCAAAUUGGCUCAAUGUUAGAACUCAACUUAUUACUCUUUCUUACGUAGUACGUUAAGAGAAUUAUGUUUUCAACUUAACUUAAGUCCCUAGCAUGCAAUCUAGAAUGGCGUGUUCAUAGAUUUAACAAGUAGAAAUCAUUAAGAUUGAAAAGAGUUUGAGUCAUCACAAGGAAUCAUAAGUGCUGGUGUUGUCUUACUUAUCCUAGAAAUUGGUUCACGUGUUAAUUGCAAUUAACAAGUACUACUCUAUAACAUAUGUAGGUCCUCAUUCGACAAGGGCAGGCACACACAUAUUCAUAGCAUUAGAAUCCAAGAUAUGCUUACUAAGUGUGCAUCCAUAGAAAACACAUGAAGAAUUCAUCACUAAUAUAAGUAGUGAACCAAUUUUCAUCCAUUCAUAAAAGAAAUUCAAACAAAAUGUCACAACAAACUUCCAAUCAUAUUUGGGCCUUCAAAACAGCCCCUAACUUCGGAAAAUUUCGUUACACAUAAUUCUCGAAUUAAACCAAAAGAAAGACAUGAGUUUGAGAAGAUAAAACCAAAAAAAUAGAGUGUUAUCCCUGCUGCCUCUUUCCUUCCUCUCAUUUUAACUUAGCUUAUUUUCUCCCUUUUUCAUAACCUUCAAAAGGUGUAAAAUUUUCCACAUCAUGACAACUCAAUCUUAAUUAAAGCCAAUUAGUAGUGGGACUUGUUGUUUUCUUGGCUGCAUUAGUUUUGGCUGCUAGGAUUUAUUGCGUUUAUUGCUUUCAUUGCUUUAACUCCGCUUGUGUAAGUUUAUCUAACAUUGCUGGUCCCAAGCCCGGAUAAAGAAGGAGACCGAC